RNAcentral lists this unclassified non-coding RNA (343 nucleotides) under uncultured fungus. RNAcentral describes it as "partial contains 5.8S ribosomal RNA and internal transcribed spacer 2". The stretch from base 1 to 133 matches the Rfam family "5.8S ribosomal RNA", at positions 22 to 154 of the family's 154-position model. The record is from RNAcentral. Lineage: Eukaryota; Fungi.
UGGUUCUGGCAUCGAUGAAGAACGCAGCGAAAUGCGAUAAGUAAUGCGAAUUGCAGAAUUCAGUGAAUCAUCGAAUCUUUGAACGCACAUUGCGCCCGCCAGUACUCUGGCGGGCAUGCCUGUCCGAGCGUCAUUUCAACCCUCGAGCCCCUCCGGGGGGUCGGCGUUGGGGAUCGGCCCUCCCUUCGCGGGGCGGCCGGCCCCGAAAUGCAGUGGCGGUCUCGCCGCAGCCUCCCAUGCGCAGUAGCUUGCACACUCGCACCGGGAGCGCGGCGCGUCCAACGCCGUAAAACACCCAACCUUCUGGAAUGUUGACCUCGGAUCAGGUAGGAAUACCCGCUGA